Molecule: long non-coding RNA, 411 nt
Filed under: Equus caballus (horse)
Lineage: Eukaryota; Metazoa; Chordata; Mammalia; Perissodactyla; Equidae
Description: lncRNA (ENSECAG00000042870.2)
Source: RNAcentral
CACAACCUCGCCCUGACUGCAGUUCAGAACGGGUGAAUCAGAAUCUCUGCAGGCACGGUCCAAGCGCUGGAACUUUAAAAAGCUCCCCGGGUGACUCUAGUGUGUAGCCUGGAUUGAGAACCACUGAACUAAAUUGUUUACGUGAUAAGGCAGGAUGGAAGUGUGCAUGCUUGAGUAGAAAGCAAGUGGCACCAAGAGGAGCUAAACAUGCCGGAGAGGAAGAGCAUAGGUGUGAGCCCACAGACUGAGAAAAAUGAACAUCUUUUAGGUCUGGGGAGACUCUGCUUCUGGCUGUGGGUGACGGACGUGCCUUGCCUCUGGGCUGUUCCAUGCAUCUCAUUCCAGGCUGACAGGCAGCAGCAACUCAGGGCAUAUUCUUCUCCUGGCUACAGCAAGUGAGCAGGGAAUGGC